GAUGAACGCUGGCGGCGUGCCUAAUACAUGCAAGUCGAGCGAACGGACGAGAAGCUUGCUUCUCUGAUGUUAGCGGCGGACGGGUGAGUAACACGUGGAUAACCUACCUAUAAGACUGGGAUAACUUCGGGAAACCGGAGCUAAUACCGGAUAAUAUUUUGAACCGCAUGGUUCAAAAGUGAAAGACGGUCUUGCUGUCACUUAUAGAUGGAUCCGCGCUGCAUUAGCUAGUUGGUAAGGUAACGGCUUACCAAGGCAACGAUGCAUAGCCGACCUGAGAGGGUACUCGGCCACACUGGAACUGAGACACGGUCCAGACGCCUAAGGGAGGCAGCAGUAGGGCAUCUUCCGCAAUGGGCGAAAGCCUGACGGAGCAACGCCGCGUGAGUGAUGAAGGUCUUCGGAUCGUAAAACUCUGUUAUUAGGGAAGAACAUAUGUGUAAGUAACUGUGCACAUCUUGACGGUACCUAAUCAGAAAGCCACGGCUAACUACGUG
RNAcentral lists this ribosomal RNA (497 nucleotides) under uncultured bacterium. RNAcentral's name for it is "partial 16S ribosomal RNA". It matches the Rfam family "Bacterial small subunit ribosomal RNA", at positions 28 to 507 of the family's 1533-position model. The record is from RNAcentral.